AAAGGGAGACCUAAUUCGGGUAUAAGACGAAAAAAUAGUAGUCGAAACCAAGAAUCAAUCCCAAAAGGUCGGAACGAGGUAUGAGGCUUUCAAACUAGGUUCUGGGUUCAUAAAAGACCUGAAUCAGGAACAAGGGCUAUUAGCUCAGGUGGUUAGAGCGCACCCCUGAUAAGGGUGAGGUCCCUGGUUCGAGUCCAGGAUGGCCCACCUGCACAGGUGGCAAAAACAAAGAAGCGAGGAAUCAGCACCUUAUCUUACUUACAUAGUAAGAGAGAAUGCUGGCUCUGAGUAAAGAGUCCAGAGGAACCUUGAAAACUGCAUAGAGCUAGGUGAAAAAGCCAAAAAAGAAGACCGCAAG
RNAcentral lists this transfer RNA (358 nucleotides) under uncultured Microcystis sp. RNAcentral's name for it is "partial 16S-23S ribosomal RNA intergenic spacer". The stretch from base 134 to 207 matches the Rfam family "tRNA". The record is from RNAcentral. Lineage: Bacteria; Bacillati; Cyanobacteriota; Cyanophyceae; Chroococcales; Microcystaceae.